UCUUUUGCACCCGCACAUUCCCCUGCUUUCUUUUCUCUUAUUGUCAGUAAUGGUAUUUUCAUUUACUCUCCUCUUUUUUUCUUAUUUUUCUAUACAGUGUUUGGAGACAUUUUAUGUGUGAAGUAUUACUUUGAAUCAAAUGUCAAACUCAUUCUAUAGAAGGCCGGGUUUCUGCAGGUUUUCACUCCACCCUUGAUUGAUGAAUUAAGGUCACUAAUUAGUUAGAAACUCCUCUCACCUGGUUGUCUAGGUCUUAAUUGAAAGGAAAAAACUAAAACCCGCAGACACUCGGCCCCCCAUGGAAUGAGUUUGACACCCCUGUAUUAAAUAAAUGUUGAUUUGACCAGGGGCCGUCUGCCAGGUCCUGACCACCAGGGUGGGAGACAUCCUGAACAGUACCUGCAACGACGAUUGCAAGGCCAGGCUCAUCAUCCAGAAAGGUACACUUAUAACCUGUUUUACCCAUAUGACCAGUAAUAACAGUGUAAUAACCUGUGUAAUAACCCGUGUAUUACCAUUAUAGUAAAUGUGCUAGAUACUGCAUAGUGUUAUACAUGAAUGUGGCUUUGAACCAUUUCAGAAUAUGAGUGUAUUUUCUUAGGAUUGGAUUCCGGUGCCAGGGAAAGGUUCCCUGACUCUCCGUGUCCCUCUUCACCCAAGGACGAAGAGGAGGUGGUUGUGAGUGCCAUGACUGUCUCAUACCCUAAACCCUCCACCUCAACCCAGGCAGCAUGGGCAGCUCCUGCCCAGACUCUGGACGUUUUUCUGCCCAGACCAUGCCUGGAUGAAGAAGAGGUAGUGCCCAGCACCUCCUUGAAGGACAACUCUGUGACAACCACCCAUGCAGCACUGGCAGCUCCUUCCCAGAGCCUGGAAGAAGAGGUGGGAGAAGCUGAGGUGUCCCACGUGAGUGAGAGCUCCCUGAUGCCCACCAAGGCCAUUGAGAAGAUUCCCUCCCUCCUACCAGGCAAGAUCCUUAUCGAGGAGGACACCCUCAGUUGCAGCACUCCCUGGGCCACCGUCAUGAGCCCCCAGACCCUGAAAUUCAUCCUCCACGGCAUCAUGUGCCGACUGGAGGCCUCAGAGUCCCCCCAGACAAGGAGGGCCAAUGACCCCUUCAGGCUGAUGAAGGAUCUCUUUCUGGAGGUCCAGCAUGCCCUGAAGUAUGCUGACAUCUCUGUCCUCUUUGGCCUGGAGGAGAGCAUCCAAUUCAUUGGGGAGGAUGCGGUGAAGGCCAUCGUGAAGACUGCAGCUAAAAGAUUGUCCCUGCGUUCGGACUCCAACCGGGCUCAACUGCGUGCCGCGCGCUCUGGUGGUGAGGCAGCCAUCAGGUGCAUGGCGGACACCAUCACACAAGUCAUAGAUGACUAUUCCGAGGACUGGAGUUCCGGUGGCCAUUUUGGAGCCAGGAGGAGCCGUGCUAGUGGGAGGUCACACUCCUCAACCUCCUCAAGGAGUGACGUCACCCUCACCGAGGAGCUCCUGGCCCGGAGGGAAUCCCUUGAAGAGGACCUAGCGGAGAUGGCUGAUGACAGCACUGGUUUGGAGAAGACCAUUGUAAGCUCAGCCAUCUCUGCCAAGUCCCAGGUAAUUAGCUACAUUUCAGACAGCUCCGAGCCCAACAGCUGUGCCCUCUUCACAGACCUCGAGGACAUCACCUCCACACAUGUGAGACAGACAAGAACUAGUAGAUUGUUUAGUUAUUUGGGCUGUUUGAUUGUGAGGCAUCAACUCAAAUCUGUUUCUCUCUCUACGAAGGAGAAGGAGAAGGAAGAGGCUAUGAAGGAAGAAGUGAGGAAGUCAGGAAAGAAGAGGCGAAGAAAUAACAAGGACCAGAAGAAGAACAAGGUGUCUCCUCUUGGCAAUGAUAGUACUGUGGCUGCAGAUGAGCCGAAGAAAAAACAGGCUCUCCUCCCGCGGAUCACAGCUGCCCUGGCAAGACUAUUUUGCUUCCCCUGCAAAAAAAGAUGCAAAAAGUAACUGCAGAGACGAGUUUGGGAAACCCUGAUACCACCUCCCCCAACCAACUUUCUAAAAAAACAUCAGUGCCACCAGAAGAGGGAGACAACCCCCCCUAUUCACAACUAAUUUGAUUACCCCCCCAUUUAUUUAAUAAACACAACUUUCAGCUAUUUUGAUCUUCUUUACUUUUUUUUUUACAGACCCACCUGCAUGCUAUAGAUUCGUAAGGUCAAUUUGCUGUGUACUGUCUACAGUAUCAUUGUUAUGAGUAAGUUC
This is a long non-coding RNA of Oncorhynchus mykiss (rainbow trout), 2238 nucleotides long. Lineage: Eukaryota; Metazoa; Chordata; Actinopteri; Salmoniformes; Salmonidae. The record is from Ensembl.